CUACGGGAGGCUCCAGUGAGGAAUAUUGCACAAUGGGGGGAACCCUGAUGCAGCAACGCCGCGUGGAGGAUGACGCAUUUCGGUGUGUAAACUCCUUUUAUAUGACAAGAAAAUGACGGUAGCAUAUGAAUAAGCACCGGCUAACUCCGUGCCAGCAGCCGCGGUAAUACGGAGGGUGCAAGCGUUACUCGGAAUCACUGGGCGUAAAGGACGCGUAGGCGGGUUGGAAAGUCAGGUGUGAAAUCCUACAGCUUAACUGUAGAACUGCACUUGGAACUGCUAAUCUAGAGUAUGGGAGGGGGAGAUGGAAUUAGUGGUGUAGGGGUAAAAUCCGUAGAUAUCACUAGGAAUACCUAAAGCGAAGGCGAUCUCCUGGAACAUUACUGACGCUAAGGCGUGAAAGCGUGGGGAGCAAACAGGAUUAGAUACCCCUGUAGUC
Molecule: ribosomal RNA, 439 nt
Filed under: uncultured bacterium
Lineage: Bacteria
Description: partial 16S ribosomal RNA
Rfam family: Bacterial small subunit ribosomal RNA
Source: RNAcentral